AGUGAACGCUGGCGGUAGGCCUAACACAUGCAAGUCGAACGGCAGCACAGUAAGAGCUUGCUCUUACGGGUGGCGAGUGGCGGACGGGUGAGGAAUACAUCGGAAUCUACUUUUUCGUGGGGGAUAACGUAGGGAAACUUACGCUAAUACCGCAUACGACCUACGGGUGAAAGCAGGGGAUCUUCGGACCUUGCGCGAUUGAAUGAGCCGAUGUCGGAUUAGCUAGUUGGCGGGGUAAAGGCCCACCAAAGCGACGAUCCGUAGCUGGUCUGAGAGGAUGAUCAGCCACACUGGAACUGAGACACGGUCCAGACGCCUACGGGAGGCAGCAGUGGGGAAUAUUGGACAAUGGGCGCAAGCCUGAUCCAGCCAUACCGCGUGGGUGAAGAAGGCCUUCGGGUUGUAAAGCCCUUUUGUUGGGAAAGAAAAGCAGCAGGUUAAUACCCCGCUGUUCUGACGGUACCCAAAGAAUAAGCACCGGCUAACUUCGUG
RNAcentral lists this ribosomal RNA (492 nucleotides) under uncultured bacterium. RNAcentral's name for it is "partial 16S ribosomal RNA". It matches the Rfam family "Bacterial small subunit ribosomal RNA", at positions 29 to 507 of the family's 1533-position model. The record is from RNAcentral.